This 467-nucleotide ribosomal RNA is filed under the name uncultured bacterium. RNAcentral's name for it is "partial 16S ribosomal RNA". It matches the Rfam family "Bacterial small subunit ribosomal RNA", at positions 28 to 506 of the family's 1533-position model. The record is from RNAcentral.
GACGAACGCUGGCGGCGUGCUUAACACAUGCAAGUCGAACGGAAAGGCCCUGCUUUUGUGGGGUGCUCGAGUGGCGAACGGGUGAGUAACACGUGAGUAACCUGCCCUUGACUUUGGGAUAACUUCAGGAAACUGGGGCUAAUACCGGAUAGGAGCUCCUGCUGCAUGGUGGGGGUUGGAAAGUUUCGGCGGUUGGGGAUGGACUCGCGGCUUAUCAGCUUGUUGGUGGGGUAGUGGCUUACCAAGGCUUUGACGGGUAGCCGGCCUGAGAGGGUGACCGGCCACAUUGGGACUGAGAUACGGCCCAGACUCCUCCGGGGGGCAGCAGUGGGGAAUAUUGCAAAAGGGGCGGAAGCCUGAUGCAGCAACGCCGCGGGCGGGAUGACGGCCUUCGGGUUGGAAACCGCUUUCGCCUGUGACGAAGCGGGAGUGGCGGUAAUGGGUAAAGGAGCCGCGGCUAACUACGU